This is a long non-coding RNA of Pieris napi, 716 nucleotides long. RefSeq lists it as uncharacterized. The record is from RefSeq and is a predicted model, not a curated record. Lineage: Eukaryota; Metazoa; Arthropoda; Insecta; Lepidoptera; Pieridae. The transcript is spliced from 3 exons.
GGUCUGUAAUCAAUAGCUAGUUACAUAUAUCUCGGGAAUAAAUUUGCUUUGAUAAACAUUAUACAGUGCUCUUGUCAUUUGUUUGGUCUCGUGUUUUGUUUUAAGUGUCAAUUAUCCUCAUAAUAAUAUGAAGUUGGUCGCGUGCAUCUGUUCGCUGUUGGUGGUGGUAGCCUGUCAAGCUAACAAUGGAGCGACGCCAACUACAGUAAACAAUUACAUAGUAAACCACAACAACAAUUACAAUAUAACUUACAACAAUUACAACUUAAAUAACAACAUGUACAACCACAACGCGCGCCCAUUCAGACAGAGCCGCCCAUAUAGGCCGAGACACCCAUUCAGGCCGAGCCGCCCAUUCAAGCCGAGCCGCCAAUUCAGGCCGAGCUAUGCUCGCCAAUUCAAGCCGUGCUACGCUCGCAAAUUCAGGCCGAGCUACGCUGGCUAAAGCUUGAGGCCAACAGCGAGAUUCCUAACAAAAAAAAACCGGAGCGCGUAUAACAACAACAUUCAACAACAACAUGUUUGGUCCUUAUUAUAGAUACAGACCAAAUCUUGUUGAGGGCAUACUUAAUGCUGCUUCUGAGUCUGACACUGUGUGGAACAUUCGAAGCCCCAUAGGACAUCGAAAUUUCUAAAAGAUAUAAUAGAAAUAAUUACAGUAGCAUAUUAAAGAAUUACCUACCUUCUAAAAACAAUAUGUUUAUUAAGGAACAUAA